RNAcentral lists this ribosomal RNA (328 nucleotides) under uncultured bacterium. RNAcentral's name for it is "bacterial SSU rRNA". It matches the Rfam family "Bacterial small subunit ribosomal RNA", at positions 30 to 355 of the family's 1533-position model. The record is from RNAcentral.
AUUGAACGCUGGCGGCAGGCCUAACACAUGCAAGUCGAGCGGUAGCAGUCCUUCGGGAGGCUGACGAGCGGCGGACGGGUGAGGAAUGCUUGGGAAUCUGCCCGAUAGAGGGGGAGUAACUACGGGAAACUGUAGCUAAUACCGCAUGAUCUCUUAGGAGCAAAGCGGGGGACCUUCGGGCCUCGCGCUAUCGGAUGAGCCCAAGUGGGAUUAGCUAGUUGGUAGGGUAAAGGACCUACCAAGGACGGACGAUCUCUAACUGGUCUGAGAGGACGACCAGCCACACUGGGACUGAGACACGGCCCAGACUCCUACGGGAGGCAGCAGU